This 1349-nucleotide ribosomal RNA is filed under the name uncultured eukaryote. RNAcentral's name for it is "SSU rRNA". It matches the Rfam family "Eukaryotic small subunit ribosomal RNA", at positions 384 to 1787 of the family's 1831-position model. The record is from RNAcentral.
CGGAGAGGGAGCAUGAGAAACGGCUACCACAUCUAAGGAAGGCAGCAGGCGCGUAAAUUACCCAAUCCUGACUCAGGGAGGUAGUGACAAGAAAUAACAACUCGGGGGCGCAAGCCUUACGAGAUUGCAAUGGGUACAAUCCAAAUCACUUAACGAGGAACAAUUGGAGGGCAAGUCUGGUGCCAGCAGCCGCGGUAAUUCCAGCUCCAAUAGCGUAUAUUAAAGUUGUUGCAGUUAAAAAGCUCGUAGUUGAACUUCUGUGGGUCGUCUACGUGGCUUCUGUCGUGCGGACGGCUCACAUCCGCUUGAGAACCUUGCUCGUCCUUCACUGGUCGGCAUGGGGAUCAGGCCUUUUACUGUGAAAAAAUCAGAGUGUUCAAGGCAGGCCAUCGCCCUGAAUACACAAGCAUGGAAUAAUGGAAUAGGACUAUGAUCCAUUUUAUUGGUUAUUGGAUCCUAGUAAUGAUUAAUAGGGACAGUUGGGGGCAUUAGUAUUUAAUUGUCAGAGGUGAAAUUCUUGGAUUUAUUAAAGACUAACUUAUGCGAAAGCAUUUGCCAAGGAUGUUUUCAUUAAUCAAGAACGAAAGUUAGGGGAUCAAAGACGAUCAGAUGCCGUCCUAGUCUUAACUAUAAACUAUACCGACUAGGGAUUGGCCGGGUUUUCGAGCUCGGUCAGCACCUUAUGAGAAAUCAAAGUCUUUGGGUUCUGGGGGGAGUAUCAUGGCAAGACUGAAACUUAAAGGAAUUGACGGAAGGGCCACAACAGGAGUGGAGCGUGCGGUUUAAUUCGACUCAACACGGGGAAACAGAUCAGGUCACAACACAGAUGGGAAGGACAGAAUGAGAGCUCUGUCUUGAUUGUGGGGGUGGCGGGGCAUGUCCGAUCUUAGGGAGUGGAGUGAUUGGUUAGGUUAAUUACGGUAACGAACGAGACCUUAACAUGUUAUCUAGUCACGCGCAGCACAAUCGCGUUGACAUAUUAGAGGGACUAUCAAGUCAAGCGCAUGGAAGUGCGAGACAAUAUCAGGUAUGUGAUGACAUGAGAUGUCCUGGACCCCACGCGCGCUACACCGAUGCGCUCAACAAAUUCUAUCUUGGAUGAGAAGAGUUUAGUGUAAUUAUUAUAAUUCGUGUCGGGGAGGGGAUCGAUCAAUGCAAUAUUAGAUCCGGAGCGAGGAAAUUAUAGUAAACAUAACUCAUCAGCUUGUGUUGAUUACGUCCCUGCCCUCAGUACACACCUCCCGUCGCUCGUUCCGAAUUGGAGCGAUGCGGUGAACGGUCUGGACUGCUCAUCUAGUCAAGGGUGGGAAGGGAAGUUAAUUAAAUCUUAUCGAGGAGAGGAAGGAGAA